GACGAACGCUGGCGGCGUGCUUAACACAUGCAAGUCGAACGGAAAGGCCCUGCUCUUGUUGGGUGCUCGAGUGGCGAACGGGGGAGUAACACGUGAGUAAACUGCCCUUGACUGUGGGAUAACUUCAGGGAACUGGGGCUCAUACCGGAGAGGAGCUCCUGCUGCAUGGGGUGGGUUGGAAAGUGUCGGCGGUGUUGGAUGGACUCGCAGCUUAUCAGCUUGUUGGUGGGGUAGGGGCUGACCAGGGCUGUGACGGGUAGCCGGCAUGAGAGGGUGACCGGCCACAUGGGUACUGCGAGACGCCCCAGACUCCAACGGUAGGCAGUAGUGGAGAACAUGGCACAAUGGGCGGGAGCGUGUGGCAGCAACGUCGCGUGCGGGAUGCUGGGUUUCGGGUUGAAAACCGCUUUCGACGGUGACGAACCGUGAGUGACGGUACCGGGUCAAGAAGCACCGGCUAACUACGUG
This 468-nucleotide ribosomal RNA is filed under the name uncultured bacterium. RNAcentral's name for it is "partial 16S ribosomal RNA". It matches the Rfam family "Bacterial small subunit ribosomal RNA", at positions 28 to 507 of the family's 1533-position model. The record is from RNAcentral.